UAUCUAAUCAUUUCAAUUUUGAAUACCUACGACAAACAAACACGCGAAGACCCAUAUAAAAAUCGAUCUCAUGGGACAAAAAUUACAGAAGACAGAAGGAUUGCAGAAAUAUCUACGCAAAUCAUCUUGAAAUCCAUUCACCGUUAUCAGAAUCAAGCAUAUAUCUGUGUAAUGCUAAAUGCUAAUUACAAGAAUGAAACUUUACCUGAAAAGAGAGAACCAGGAGAA
RNAcentral lists this unclassified non-coding RNA (228 nucleotides) under Hevea brasiliensis (rubber tree). Lineage: Eukaryota; Viridiplantae; Streptophyta; Magnoliopsida; Malpighiales; Euphorbiaceae. The record is from RNAcentral.